GAAUUGAUGAUGAAACUCCACUUACAUUCCUUGGAGCUGAAGAAAAUGAGUGAAAACUGAAAACUGUUGCUCUUGUCAUGAAGUUA
Fukomys damarensis (Damara mole-rat) is the source of this 86-nucleotide small nucleolar RNA. Its record names the gene SNORD116. It matches the Rfam family "Small nucleolar RNA SNORD116". From Rfam's summary of the family: HBII-85 is a member of the C/D class of snoRNAs, which contain the C (UGAUGA) and D (CUGA) box motifs. The record is from Ensembl. Lineage: Eukaryota; Metazoa; Chordata; Mammalia; Rodentia; Bathyergidae.